This is a small nucleolar RNA of Microtus ochrogaster (prairie vole), 142 nucleotides long. The record is from Ensembl. Lineage: Eukaryota; Metazoa; Chordata; Mammalia; Rodentia; Cricetidae.
GACCAAGGUGAGUCUCUCUCGAAGGGACUGACUAGUGCCCCUUUCCGGAACAUAGCAAUUUGGAAGCAAGUCUGGCAUGCAUGAAGUCUCUGGAGAACAAGGGAUGCUUUUUGCCUUUGCCUGCCUUUGGCUGCUUACAUGU